AUACUUACCUGGCAUAGGGGAUCCCGUGAUCAAGAAGGCGGUUCCCCCAGGGCGAGACUCUUCCAUUGCACUGCGGUUGGGUUGACCCUUGCGAUUAUCCCUAAUGUGGAUAACUCGGAUGCGUAAUUUUUGGUAGUGGGGGGACUGCGUACGCGCUGUCCCCCC
Cydia splendana is the source of this 165-nucleotide small nuclear RNA. RefSeq annotates it as U1 spliceosomal RNA. The record is from RefSeq and is a predicted model, not a curated record. The transcript has a single exon. Lineage: Eukaryota; Metazoa; Arthropoda; Insecta; Lepidoptera; Tortricidae.